This 93-nucleotide microRNA precursor is filed under the name Podilymbus podiceps. RNAcentral's name for it is "mir-217 microRNA precursor family". It matches the Rfam family "mir-217 microRNA precursor family". Lineage: Eukaryota; Metazoa; Chordata; Aves; Podicipediformes; Podicipedidae. The record is from Rfam by way of RNAcentral. RNAcentral also lists the same sequence under 2 other names.
GAGUUUUUGAUGUCGCAGAUACUGCAUCAGGAACUGAUUGGAUAAUGAUCACUCACCAUCAGUUCCUAAUGCAUUGCCUUCAGCAUCUAAACA